GACGAACGCUGGCGGCGUGCUUAACACAUGCAAGUCGAGCGGUAAGGCCCUUUCGGGGUACGACGAGCGGCGAACGGGUAGAGUAACACGUGGGUGACCUCGCCCUCCAGCUCUGGGAGUAAGACCCGGGAAACCGUAGGGUCGUAAUACCGGAUAUGACUCCAUGACGCAUGUUGUGGGGUGGAAAGACCUUGUGCGGCUAGGGAGUGGCCCGGCCGGCCUAUCAGCUUGUUGGUGGGGUGAUGGCCACCAAGGCGACGA
Molecule: ribosomal RNA, 261 nt
Filed under: uncultured bacterium
Lineage: Bacteria
Description: partial 16S ribosomal RNA
Rfam family: Bacterial small subunit ribosomal RNA
Source: RNAcentral